GAUGAACGCUGGCGGCGUGCCUAAUACAUGCAAGUCGAGCGAACGGACGAGAAGCUUGCUUCUCUGAUGUUAGCGGCGGACGGGUGAGUAAUACGUGGAUAACCUACCUAUAAGACUGGGAUAACUUCGGGAAACCGGAGCUAAUACCGGAUAAUAUUUUGAACCGCAUGGUUCAAAAGUGAAAGACGGUCUUGCUGUCACUUAUAGAUGGAUCCGCGCUGCAUUAGCUAGUUGGUAAGGUAACGGCUUACCAAGGCAACGAUGCAUAGCCGACCUGAGAGGGUGAUCGGCCACACUGGAACUGAGACACGGUCCAGACUCCUACGGGAGGCAGCAGUAGGGAAUCUUCCGCAAUGGGCGAAAGCCUGACGGAGCAACGCCGCGUGAGUGAUGAAGGUCUUCGGAUCGUAAAACUCUGUUAUUAGGGAAGAACAUAUGUGUAAGUAACUGUGCACAUCUUGACGGUACCUAAUCAGAAAGCCACGGCUAACUACGUGCCAGCAGCCGCGGUAAUACGUAGGUGGCAAGCGUUAUCCGGAAUUAUUGGGCGUAAAGCGCGCGUAGGCGGUUUUUUAAGUCUGAUGUGAAAGCCCACGGCUCAACCGUGGAGGGUCAUUGGGAACUGGAAAACUUGAGUGCAGAAGAGGAAAGUGGAAUUCCAUGUGUAGCGGUGAAAUGCGCAGAGAUAUGGAGGAACACCAGUGGCGAAGGCGACUUUCUGGUCUGUAACUGACGCUGAUGUGCGAAAGCGUGGGGAUCAAACAGGAUUAGAUACCCUGGUAGUCCACGCCGUAAACGAUGAGUGCUAAGUGUUAGGGGGUUUCCGCCCCUUAGUGCUGCAGCUAACGCAUUAAGCACUCCGCCUGGGGAGUACGACCGCAAGGUUGAAACUCAAAGGAAUUGACGGGGACCCGCACAAGCGGUGGAGCAUGUGGUUUAAUUCGAAGCAACGCGAAGAACCUUACCAAAUCUUGACAUCCUUUGACAACUCUAGAGAUAGAGCCUUCCCCUUCGGGGGACAAAGUGACAGGUGGCGCAUGGUUGUCGUCAGCUCGUGUCGUGAGAUGUUGGGUUAAGUCCCGCAACGAGCGCAACCCUUAAGCUUAGUUGCCAUCAUUAAGUUGGGCACUCUAAGUUGACUGCCGGUGACAAACCGGAGGAAGGUGGGGAUGACGUCAAAUCAUCAUGCCCCUUAUGAUUUGGGCUACACACGUGCUACAAUGGACAAUACAAAGGGCAGCGAAACCGCGAGGUCAAGCAAAUCCCAUAAAGUUGUUCUCAGUUCGGAUUGUAGUCUGCAACUCGACUACAUGAAGCUGGAAUCGCUAGUAAUCGUAGAUCAGCAUGCUACGGUGAAUACGUUCCCGGGUCU
Molecule: ribosomal RNA, 1372 nt
Filed under: uncultured bacterium
Lineage: Bacteria
Description: bacterial SSU rRNA
Rfam family: Bacterial small subunit ribosomal RNA
Source: RNAcentral